Molecule: long non-coding RNA, 12297 nt
Filed under: Nicotiana tabacum (common tobacco)
Lineage: Eukaryota; Viridiplantae; Streptophyta; Magnoliopsida; Solanales; Solanaceae
Description: long non-coding RNA (NTAB_LNC014959)
Source: RNAcentral
AAAAAUCUAGCUAACACACAAAGAUGGCAGCCUUACGAUUCUGAUUCAACACUUUAAAAAAUGUUGAAUUAUCUUAAAUGGGUUAACUAAAGUUCAACUGUUCCUGCAUCGGUUGAGCAACAUAUUGGUCAUCGUGAGCUUACAAUCCAAGCAGUUAAGAGAGGAAUUCCGUUUCUUCUGUCAUUUGUUGGAAUAUACGGAAAGGGAUAAGAAAUAGUAAAUUAGUGUUGAAAGUAAAAUUGAGCUUGAAAUCAAUUUGCAAAAGAACCAGAAAAGACAAAGGGAGUGCCACCACUUGACGUGUCGGAAUUGUUAGCAUAUUUUGUUACACACACCCAUUUUGAUCUGUUAUGCAAAUAAUUGUGUCUAUCAACCUCAAAUCGGCUUAUCAGUAGAUGUGAUAUAUGUUUGAGCGGUCCGUUCGAGGUGCCGAGGUUGUUGGGCAAAAAUGUUCCGGUUAAAAGUUGUCUAAUUUCCGGGUUGGUUGUAACUUAAGCUCAAAUUCAAUACAAAGGUUCGAUAUUUUAACUCCUCCGUCUAUUUCUUUUUCAUCAACUAUAGUGCUUUAGUGGUGAAUAAUGUCUGCAUGCUGAAUAUAAUUUUAUCCUAUGGUAGAAAAGAGUUAUAAUAAAUUUUUAGAAAUGACAACCACUCGCCAUAAGAAGCAUGCUUGGAGAAUGUCAUGGUGAUAGUUGCUGUUUCGUUUUCUCUUUUCUUUGCUUACAUGUUUCGAUUUCAAUUUUGCAUUGCUAUGUAGUUAGUUAGUUUCAAUACUUCAGAUUUUUGAUUGGGUGUAAACAUUUUUAGUCCUAUGCAAUUUAGGACAAAAAACAAUUUUUUUAAUCAUUUGUUGAUAUUGGUUACAUUUUAUAGUUGAAAACAUCUAUAUUAUAUUAUUAUAACUGUAGUGGAUCAUGAGCAGACUUAUACUGAUUUGUUGUAGACGGUUGAGAGAAUUAGUCGUUGUCUACUUUAUUAUUAAUAAUUCGAGGAUAAAUAAAUCAUCGAGACUAUGGGUACGGAUCCCGUGGCAUGGUCACGAUACGUAAUUCCCAAACUCGGGUGCGCAUUUAUAUGACCAAAAUCCAAAUCUCAACAACGUUAAAAUAUGUCAAAGACCACGAGUGCAUUUAUGUGACGUGGUUCAAGACAUGUUUUAAUAACGUUGCAAUCUUCCUAAAAAUGAAUAAAAACGGUUAAGGUUGAAAAUGCACAUAGGUUUGAACAUGUACUAAAAUCAGAUAAUUAAGCCGAAUAUAACAGUUGAGCGACCGUGCUAGAACCACGGAACUCGGGAGUGCCUAACACCUUCUCCCAGGUUAACAGAGUUUCUUACCCGGAUUUCUGGUUUGCGGACUGUUAAACAGAGUCAAUCUUUUCUUCGAUUCGGGAUUGGAACCGGUGACUUGGGACACCAUAAAUCUCUCAAGUGGCGACUCUGAAUCUUUUAAUAAUAAAUUCCGUUUCGAUUGUCACUUAAAUUGGAAAAACUCUAUUAUAUACCCCUUUACGGGGGUGUAGUGAAAAAAGAGGUGUGACAAUGACCUACGAUAAUUAUAUCGUUGCGAUUCACAGUUAUAUAAUAGCCGUUUAUGUUAAUUUCAUUCAUUAAGUUCAUACUUAUCGGCCAAUGGCAACCACAAGUCCACCGACUAAGGUUGUAGUCAUAUGACCUAUGAUAAUUAUAUCGUUGCAAUUCACAGUCAUAUAAUAGUCGUUUAUGUUAAUUUCACUCAUUAAGUUCAUACGUAUCGGCCAAUGGCAACCAUAUAAGUCCACCGACUAAGGUUGUAUUCAUAUGACCUACGAUAAUUACAUCGUGCGAUUCACAGUUAUAUAAUAGCCGUUUAUGUUAAUUUCAUUCAUUAAGUUCAUACGUAUCGGCCAAUGGCAACCAUAUAAGUCCACCGACUAAGGUUGUAGUCAUAUGACCUACGAUAAUUAUAUCGUUGCGAUUCACAGUUUUUUAAUAGUUCUUUUGGUGAAAUAAAGAAUUUUUAUUUAAUCACCAGCACAAAACAUUACAAGUAUAUCCUCACAAAAACAUUACAAGUAUAUCCCAAUCUAUCCACACCCCUUGCUGAGUAUAUUCUAACUAUUCCUAUCUCUUUUCUGUUAAGUAACUAUUCCUAAUGAGCCCUUCUAUUUACAGCAACUGUUCUAUCCAUAUUCUUUGUCUUACUUCUAUCCUUCUCCGACCCAGGAUGUCAUGAAUUUUGUCUCUGCAUUCCUCCUUUAUUGCUUUCACUAUCAUGUGAGGUCUAUCAACCUUUUGAUUCCAUAGAGCAUCAUCUCUCACCCUCCAUGUCUAAUAUUAAGCUAAAUUUAUCGAAUGCAUUAAGCAGUCUAGUAACAAAUACACAACAAAUGUCACGACCCCAAAUACCAGUCGUGAUGGCACCUAUCACAUUACUAGGCAAGCCAACUAAUCAAUAACCACAACCUUCUUUCUAAUAACAUUAAGCCAUUUUUCUGACGCAAGUUUUAGAUACCAAAUUCAUUAUAAGCAUUACGACAACAAAGUUAUACGGAAAGUCAAAAUAACAAUAAACUACACAGCCCCAACAAUCUGGUGUCACGAGUCUAGAGCCUCUAAUACACGUCUGAAUACCUAUGACAUCAAUAGUCUAGGAAAUGCGGAAAAAAUAAUAAUAAGAUAGGAGGGAGAGAACAGGACUGCGGACGCCAUGCAGCUACCACGAAGUCUUCGUCAAAUACUGAAACAGUUGGAAGCCCUCACUCGGCCGCUCGGGCACCUGGAUCUGCACACAAGGUGCAGAGAGUAACGUGAGUACGCCAACUCAGUAAAUAACUAGAGUAAAUAAGGACUGAAAGCAGUGACGAGCAGUUUAAAAAUACAUAACUGGAUAAUCAACAGAAUAUCAGGUCAUCUUUACAAUUUAAAAUCAGUUUUUGUUAUAAAAUCAUAUUUCCAGUUUAAACAUUUGGAAUCAAUUACUUGGCGGUAUAUCAAAUAGAAGCUUAUUUAAAAGAAGAGUGAAAUCAGUGAAAACAUCAUAACAAGGCCUCUCAGGCAAGGAAUCACUUAGAUUAUGGCCCCUCGGGCAGCCUCUCAGUCACUCAUGACUCGACUCUCGUCACACAGUACUCACUCUCAGCACGCGGCUCAUUAGUAUCUCAUAAUAAUAAAAAUCAUAGUAAUCGCUGUGGCGUGCAGCCUAAUCUGUAAUUUAUAGUCGACUACGCUCACUGGGGGUGUACAGACUCCGGAAGGCUCCUACAGUCCAAGUGUCAUAUCGCUGCGGCGCGCAACCCGAUCCAAUAUAUAUAUAUAUCGCUGCAGCUUGCAGCCUGAUCCAUAUGAGUAUCGCUGCGGCGUGCGACCCGAUCCAUAACUCACAUAUAUACAAUUAGGUUCUCCACCUCUCUCAGUCAUUAACCUCACAGCCUUACGGGCACAACAAUAGAAUCUAGGGAACUCAGCCCAAACAGUCCUCACAAUUAGGAGUAGAGUGAUAAAAUCAGUUUUAAUCAUUUAAACAGGUAAAACAAGAUUGAAGAUAUACUUCUAGCAAGUAAAACGAGGAAAAAUAGUCAAAAUGCCCCUAAGGGUUUCUACAGGUCGGCACAAGGCCCCAAACAUGGUAUACAACCCAUAAUACGGUAUAAAUGACUGAAAUAUAGAAUGAUAUAAGAUGUUCAAAUCAAUUACGUGGCUUAAUAGUCGCUACGAGACGAACUAAGUCACAAUCUCUACCGGUGCACGCCCACACGCUCGUCACCUAGCAUGUGCGUCACCACANNNNNNNNNNNNNNNNNNNNNNNNNNNNNNNNNNNNNNNNNNNNNNNNNNNNNNNNNNNNNNNNNNNNNNNNNNNNNNNNNNNNNNNNNNNNNNNNNNNNNNNNNNNNNNNNNNNNNNNNNNNNNNNNNNNNNNNNNNNNNNNNNNNNNNNNNNNNNNNNNNNNNNNNNNNNNNNNNNNNNNNNUUUGCCCCUCGAAUCGGCCUCCACAUGCGCAAAUCUAUCCAAAGUCAGAAUGAGGACGUCAAAAUAUGCCAAGGGAACGAAGCCCAAGCGAAAACAGUCGAAAAAUAUCAAAACUCGACCCCCGGGCUCACGUCUCAAAAUUUAGAAAUUUUUACAUCAAUAAAUUUCUCGUCUCCCCACAAAUCUAUGCAUAUCAAGAACACUAAAAUCGGAGUCCAAAUGACCCCUCAAAUCCUCCUUCAAAGGUCUCUUAAACUUAAGCCAUAAUCCUCUAUUUUUAGCCCUUUAAUUCCUUUAAUUAUAGCCUUAAUCCAUGAAAUACUACCAUAGAAAUGUGUUUUAGAUCCAAAAUCCUUACCUUAACGAAGUCAUCCUAGAUUUCUCUCUUCAAAAUCACCCAAAGCUCCCAAAUCCGUGUUUAAAAAUGGUGAAACCCUUCAAAAAAUCGCGAAGGAAGACAUAUAUACAUUCUACCCAGGGAUACCCGCAUUUGCGGUCAAAAACCCGCUUCUGCGGUACCGCAUUUGCGGCCCCUCAUCCGCUUCUGCAGAAUUCACUUAACCGGCCUAGAUCUACAUCUGCGAUCGGCCUUCUGCACCUGCGGCUUCACAGAUGUGACCCCUCAACCGCAUCUGCGGUUCCUGACAAACUCUUCCAAAACCGCUUCUGCGGCUCAUCUUCCGCACGUGCGGCACCGCAGAAGCCUAGGAUUUGAGGUUCGUAGCUAAUUUAGGCUUGAAAUGUCGAAAGUUGAAUUUUGGAAGUUUCCGGUUUAAUAGUGAGAUUUUGAUCCGAGGGUCGGAAUGGAAUUCUGAGAGUUGCAGUAGUUUUGGUUGGGUUUUUGAUCGAAAGCGGAAUUCGGAAGAUUUUAGAAAUUUAGGCUUGAAUCCGAUGUGUUUUGGUUGUUUUGAUGUUUUUUUUUUUUGGAAAAAACAUGCACUUCAGAUAUUAUUCAUAUCAGAAGUUAUUACAUCAUGAAUCAAAGAUAGGGGAUGCACAAUCCAUUCCAUCGCAUCAGACAUGGAACUCGCGGCCCUUGCUAACAUAUGGGCACGCUGCUUUGCUGACCUUUUAACAAAGUACAAAGAAAUAGAUGUAAAGUCGCGCAUGAGCUCUUUACAAUCUUGUACAAUAAUAUCAAAAUAAGAGUUGCCACUAUCGGAUCUUUCCAGAGCUUGCUUUGCCAAAAGACAAUCCAUCUCAAUAGUAAUAGGGGAUCUGUGAUGCUGCAUUUUCAACCAGCUCAAGGCUUCACGAACGGUUAGAAUUUCAGCUAUUACUGCAUCAUGUGAAGCUCCCAAUAAAGUGCUAAAACCUCGAACAAAAUUUCCAUGAGUGUCUCGAAUCAACAUACCAGCCCAUGCCCUUCCAGAGUUAACUUCAUAGAAAGCGUCAAUGUUGCAUUUCAGCGUACCCGGAUCAGGGGGAAACCACUUAACAACAAAUUCUGGCCUAGCCACAGAAUAAAUAUUAUUAUCAGAUCGCGUUGAAGUCCACUCUUUCCAGAAACGACUGGCUCUAAGAAUGAUAGUCUCUGGCCGCAUAGUUUUGCCAUUCCACACCAAAUUGUUGCGGGCAUUCCAGAUCUCCCAUAGGAGCAUUAUAGCCUCCUGCAGUUUUUCCUUUGUGACAGCUGCUACUAGUGCCGUGAACCAUUCCAUGAACGAGGCUCCCACUGGCCGCCACCCCAUAGAAGAUUUAAGCCAUACUAGUUUUGCCGCAGUGCACAUAACUAAACAAUGCAUGAUAGAUUCGGCAUAUUGAAGGCAUGCUGGACAAAUAUUACUUUGGAGAACCUUUUUAGAGAAUAAAUUUUCACCAGUAGGUAAAACUCCUUUCAAUGCCCGCCAAGCAAAAUUUAAGACCUUUGCUGGCAUUUUUAAGGUCCUGAGUUUCUUCCAAGUGUUACCAUCCGAACUCUGAAGAUUAUGAUUUUGUACCACCAAGUAGCCACUCUUAACAGUGUAGUUUCCUUUUCUAUCUAACUUCCACAUCCAAGUAUCAUCACAGAGAUUGAAUACCAAAGGAAUGUGUUUGAUACAAUUUAUCUCCUCAGCAGAAAAGACAGUUUCCAAGAGCUGCAAAUUCCAUGUUUUUAUAGCUUCAUCUAUCAAGUCUGCCACACAAAGAUUCAUGUUCUCAUCAUCUGGGAUACUUUGUAUAAACAUGGAUUGCCCCGUUGGUAGCCAUGGAUCAUGGUAGACCCGUGUAUCAAGCCCAUUUCCAAUCCUUUUCACACACCCCUUUUGAAGGAGAUAUUUUGCCGCACAGAGAGAACGCCAGAUAAAGCUAGGAUUUGAUCCCUCGCUCGCACUAAGAAAGUUACAGUUGCGAAAAUAUUUAACCUUGAGGACGCGGCUUACAAGAGCACAUGGUCUUGUCAAAAUUGUCCAGCCAGUUUUGGCCAACAACGCCGUAUUGGUAUGUUGAAGUCUCCGAAAUCCCAUACCACCCUCUCUUUUCUGUUUACUAAGGCGUUCCCAUGAAAUUCAUUUAAUUCCAGACCCCUCACUACCUCCAUUGCGCCACCAAAAUUCAUUCAUAGCGCAUUCAAUAGUAAGGCAUGUAUCAAUGGGCAAUGCAAAAAGAGACAUUAGAUAGUUCGGAAUUGCUUGUACAACUGUUUUCAGUAAAAUCUCCUUUCCUGCUCUUGACAGUAUUGCUCGUUUCCAACUUUGAAGUUUUGAACGCACUUUAUCCACAAUAUAAUUGAAGACCUCUUUCUUACUACGACCCACAAUAGCUGGAAGCCCAAGAUAUUGCCCAGGUUGAUCAACUGUCCUUACAUUAAGAAUAGAUGCAACUGAAUUAUUUUGUGCAUCAUUAGUGUUUCCACUAAACGAGAUCUCUGAUUUAUGGAGAUUAACACUGGCCUGAUGCUUGCUGAUACAGCAUAAGGCGAUUCUUAAUAGUACUUGCUUCAUUGUCCACUGCCUUGAAGAAAAAUAGUGCAUCAUCCGCAAAGAAAAGAUGAGAAACGGGAGGAGCAUGCGGCGUAAUCUUCACACCAUGCAAAGUUCCACUUUGUACAUAACACCUCAAAAGUGCUGAGAGACCUUCUGCCACAAUAAUAAAUAAGUAAGGUGACAACGGAUCGCCUUGACGAAGGCCUCGUGAUGGAAUGAUAUUACCAAAAUCUCUGCCCGCAUGAGAUAUUCGGUAUGACACGGUGCUAACCAUUCUCAUAACCUUCAAAACCCAAUCGAAAGAAAACCCAAGCUUGAGCAUAAUAUUUUUCAAAUAGUUCCAUUCCACUCUAUCAUAGGCUUUGCUCAUGUCCGUUUUUAAUGCAGCAAAACCUGUCUUCCUUGUGUUUUCCGUUUCAAUUAGUGAUUUAUCUCAAAAGAAAUCAUGGCAUUGUCAAGAAUAAACCUGCCAGGAAUAAAAGCGCUUUGAGCCUCAGAGAUAAUAUCAUUUAAACAAUGCUUUAUUCGAUUUGCCAUCAUUUUACAAGUAAUGCGAUCAAUGACAUUACACAAAGAUAUAGGUCUCAGAUCAGAAAUUGCUUCAGGCUUCUUCUUCUUUGGAAUUAAGACUAUCUUUGUGUUAUUAUGACCGGGUAUGUCACCAUUAUCAUUAACGCACCGUAAAAUCAUUGCGGAGACAUCCUUACCCACUACUGACCAAAAGCUGCGAUAAAACCCCUGAUUAAGUCCAUCUAGUCCUGGAGCUUUUUUUGGGUGCAUAGAGAAAAUUGCAUUUUUUACCUCAUCAGCAGUAAAAGCCCGAUUUAAGGACAGAUUAUGGGAUGUUGUAACCUUACUCUCAACAAAAUCAAGAACUGUAUGCAUGUCACAUUGUUUAGAGGUGAAUAAAGCAUCAAAAAAACUUGUGAUCACAUCUUGUAAACCAUUAUCCCAUCCACACCAUUGUCCCGAAUUAUCUUUCAGUUGUGUGAAAGUAUUUUUCUUUCGUCGAUUUGAGGCCAUAACAUGAAAUAAUUUUGUGUUGCUCUCACCCUCUCUCAACCAGUGUUGUUUAGCUCUCUGUUUCCAGUACAUAUUUUUUUGUUCAAGGGCCUGCAAAUAUGCUGCUUUAGCUGCAUCAAACAGUUGCAUAUGAUACGGGUGUGCACUAUUUUUAUAUUUUGUCAUCUGAGCCUUGGCUUGUUUCAACUUGACGUUAAAUUGUUGUCUUUUGUUCUUUUCCCAUUCUAGGAGAUAAGCACCACAACUCUUUAUCAUCUCGUCUAUAGGCAGGCCUUCUCCUUGUUCCCACGCUGUUUGGACUACUUGCUUAAUAUCUAUCUCUUUCAUCCAAGAGUUCUCAAACCGAAAAGGUUUUGCGGCAUAGCAAAUAACUUUCAUACCUAGAUUUAAAAAGAUUGCCGCAUGAUCUAAAGAAGCUGAUUCAAUGUGAAACACUUUGGCUUCUGGAAAAUAAUUUUUCCAAGCUCUUGUCGCCAUAGCACGAUCCAGUCUCUCUCGAACCUAGUUUCGGGUAUUUCUACAUCGUUCCCAAGUGAAGCGAUUUCCAGAGUAAUCCAGAUCGAAAAAGUUACAAAAAUGUAUCGCUUCCCUGAAACCAUUUAUUCUCCAUUCUGGUUGCUGAAUUCGACCCAGUUUAUCCCCGUAAUCAAGUAUAUCAUUAAAAUCACCACCAAUACACCAUGGGAGAUCUGAUUUGUCUUUUAGUGAUUUUAAUAAAUUCCAUGAUGCAAGCCUUUGAUGUGUUCCUGGAUAACCAUAGAAUCCUGUAAACCGAAACGUAGGAACACCUGGUACAUGUACUUCUACAUCAUUAUCAUGUCCCAUCCACAAUGCUCAAAGCACUCGACUCAUCGAAUUUUCUCUUUUUAUCAAAAGAAACUAAGGCAUUUGUUAUCAUAUCUGUUACUAUAUUCUCGUUCUCAUCCUCAUCCUUCUCUACCCAAUCAUUAUCGUCAUCCUCUCCCCCAGUUAAUAUCAUCUGCUUCUUUGGUUUACUAUUUCUGUUCUCCUCGCUCCCUUUAUGAUUAUUCUUUCUUCCCUGAUAUUCUGGAAAAUUUUCGUUUCUCACCCCCUCAUAGCUUGCAUUUCCUUUCCCAUGCUGCUCAUUCCCCAAAUCACCAAGAUUUUCUUUUCUAGUUCGCGGUGGUGGGUUAUUAUCAUUACACUGGAUAUUCGCCCUACCAUGCGUACCUUUCAUCUUUGAGAACCCGUGUCUCUCUGCCCAAUCCUCUGUUCGCAACCAUCUGGACCCCCCAUACUCGAUGAACGACGUUCUGACCGUAAAUAGGUAUCAUAUUGAAAAUGUGACUUAUCUACUCCCCAGGUUUGAAAGAGCUUUUGACAGAAUUUAUCAGUAUGGCCUAAUAUACCACAGUAGAAGCAGAAGGUUCCCAGCCGCUCAUAUGUAAAUGUCACCUGAAUACAUGUUCCUCCUGGCCGUCGAAUGUUCAUGUUCUUCCUUAGCGGGCUACGGACAUCAAUACUAAUCCUAACCCGCAUAUACUCUCACCAAAUUGAAUCAUGAUUUUUUGAGUCAGCCAAUACAAAGAUUCCAAUGGCAUUCCCAAUGUCCCGAACAACCUUCUCCGAUCUCAGGCCACCAACUAACCCAUGUAUUUGCACCCAAAUAUUUAGCUGUGUCAAUUCAACUUGUCUCGGGUUUUGUCCUGGUAAGAGUGGCCGCAUGACAAUAGGGCUCUGCAUAAAAUUCCAUGGAACAUCAGUCAGGACUCGCUCAUAAUCCAAUUCAUCAAAGAAUUGAAAAGCAAAAACAUUGUUCCCCAGUUCUUUUAGAACCAUCCCUUCCAUUGGUCGUAUAGCGUUUCCCAUCGCGUCUUGAAAAGAUCGAAGCACAACAUUCCUAUCAGUAAGUACCCGAGUGAUGACGUAGAAUUGUGGAUUGCCUUCAUGAUUUUCGUGUGCAGCAACUUCUUCAUCGUCAACAUAAUCCAGUUCGACCGGCGUAUCAUUUAUAUUCAAACCUGCGCAUCUUUCUUCCAGAGGCGUAUUGUCACUGUUGGGUCGAGGAGCAGAAUUCAUUUGCGUGUAUUACUAGAUAUGAUAAAGUGAAAAUUAGGGCUAGGAUAAGGAAAGAUUAGGGCUGUGUUCAACAAGAGGUCUGGCUCUCAGAUGGAGAGAGUUUAUAAUUACUGAUGGCUUAAAUAUGGAGGAUUUCCAUAGUAAGGUCGGAAUCAGAGAGAGAUUGGGACAUGACGGCUAGCGUUUCCAUGUUGUUUAAAGUGUUUUGAAGAUUUCUAUGUUGUUUGAAUUGUUUUGAAGAUUUGUACAAGUUUGAAUAAGGUGUUAGGAUAUGUUGAUGCCUUUGGUUGAGGUCAGAGGGGCCUCAGGAUGAAUUCGGAUGGUUAACGAAGGAAAUUUUGGAGUUGAAGUUGCUGCAGCAGCUGUUCUUCUAGUAUUUUCGCAUCUACGGUUUAGGGACCACAGAUGCGGAGCCGCAAAAGUGGCAAAGAGGACCACAGAAGCGAAACUGGGAAUCUCCUCAGGAACCGCAGAUGCAGUGAAUUGUCCGUAGAAGCGGAACCGCUCUUGCGGUUAGAGUUCCGUAGUUGCAAAAACUGGGUCCUUAAGUGAAAGUCGUAGAUGCAACACUUGUUCCGUAGAAACGGGACCGCAGAUACAGUCCCAGGGUCGCAAAUGCGGAAAUCGCUGGGCAAAACAUAUAAAUAGUUGUCUUCGCGAAUUUGAGGGAUUCUUUCACCAUUUUCAUCCGGGUUUGAAGCUUUUGAGAGAGAUUUUUAAGGAAAACAAAGGGGAAUCAUUUUUAGGUAACGUCUUUUCUUUGUAACUCGUUUUUUAUGUGAUUAAAGACCUAAUUAGUGGUGAGAAAUUUGGGAAAAAUGGGUAAUUAGGGCUUGUGUUUAAGAGGUCUUUAAAUAAGGAUUUGAGGGGCCAUUUGGACUCCGAUUUCAGUGUUCUUGUCAUGUAUAGACUCGUGAGAGUACGAGAUUUCUAAAAAUAUAAAUUUUACCCGAUUCCGAGGCGUGGACCAGAGGGGCAUUUUGGUCAUUUUACAUAAUUUCUCGUAUUAUCUUAGAAUUUAAUUGUAAAAUCAGUUACUUGAAGUGCUAUUUACAUUAUGCAAUUGAAUUGAAUAUAUUUGAGCCAUUUGGAGUCGUGUACUUAUGGCAAAGACGUGGUGUUAGGUUGAUUUUGAGCCGGUUCGAGGUAAGUGGCUUGUCUAACCUUGUGUGGGGGACCUUCCCCUUAUGAUUGGUAUAUUUGGUAAUUGAAAUGUCUUGUACGUGAGGUGACGAGUGUGUACUUGUGCUAAUUGUUGGAAAUCUGGUUUUCUUUAAGUAAUUACUAGUAUUUUUUCUUUCCUAUUUUUAUUUCUUGCACUAUUAAGCUUGUUGUUAGCUUAGGAAAGCAUGUCUAAGUGACUUAAUUGCUUUAUUUUAUUCAACCUGCCUUACUUGAAUUCUGUGCAGCAUACUAGGCUAGAAUCACUUAUUGCCUUAAUAUGAAAUUCUGCCAUUACUGUAUAUCUUCCUGCUACUACUGUAUAUUUAUUUUGGGAAUACGAAUGUGGGAUUCCAGUAGCUCCCCCUUGUCUAUUUACUUUGGGAAUACGGGUUAGAUUCCUGGUAGAUCCCCAUGUACAUUUACUUUGGGACUACGGGUUAGAUUCCCAGUAGAUCCCCCUGCACAGUUAUAUGGAACUAUGGGAAUGCACCCGGUAGAUUCCCCUAGUACUGGAUAUUUACAUUUGGUACUACAGAACGGGAUCCCGGUAGAUCCUAGCGCACUAUGAGUUGGACUAUGGGACGGGAUCCUGGGAGAUCUAUUGGAUAUGUACAUAUGGGACUACAGGACGGUAUCCUGGGAGAUCCCUGAUGGUUAUUAGUGGUGCUGAGCUAUAGUUCCUUUCCAUGUUUACCUUGUUUCUGUAUAGUUAUUGAUGUCCGGUACAUCCUGUGUUAUUUUACUGCCGUACUUAUUUAUACUGUUUUGUUCUAUACUGUUGAUCUUGAUAUUUAUUUAGCCUUAGUAGGGCCCUGACCUUCCUCGUCACUACCUAACCAAGGUUAGGCUUGACACUUACUGAGUACUGCUGUGUUGUACUCAUGCCUCUUCUACGCAUGUUUCUCAUGUGCAGAUUCAGGUACUGCUGAUCAUGCCUAUUAUCAUUGAGGGAGGCGACUGCUCUAGAGACUUCAAGGUACAUCUGCCGCGUCCGCAGACCGAGAAGUCCCUUUCUAUUCCUUCUUUUAGUAUUUAGCCCUUCUGUACUUUCCUGUUCUUAUUAGACAUUCUGGAGUUAGAGCUAUGUAGUAUUGAUCUUAGCUUGUGAUUCGUGGGUUUUCGGGACUUGGAUUUAGAUAUUGGUUUUGAGAUCUAUAAAUAUGGUGUAUGCCGAACAGCACAUUUAACAUUGUUAUUGCCUUAUUUCUGUUUUUAAA